AUUGAACGCUGGCGGCAUGCUUUACACAUGCAAGUCGAACGGCAGCGCGGGCUUCGGCCUGGCGGCGAGUGGCGAACGGGUGAGUAAUACAUCGGAACGUGCCCAGUAGUGGGGGAUAGCUCGGCGAAAGCCGGAUUAAUACCGCAUACGACCUGAGGGUGAAAGCGGGGGAUCUUCGGACCUCGCGCUAUUGGAGCGGCCGAUGGCAGAUUAGCUAGUUGGUGGGGUAAAGGCCUACCAAGGCGCGAUCUGUAGCUGGUCUGAGAGGACGACCAGCCACACUGGGACUGAGACACGGCCCAGACUCCUACGGGAGGCAGCAGUGGGGAAUUUUGGACAAUGGGCGAAAGCCCUGAUCUCAGCACAUGCUGCGUGUGUGAUGAAGGGCCUUUCGGGGUUGUAAAAGCAACUU
This 412-nucleotide ribosomal RNA is filed under the name Lautropia mirabilis. RNAcentral's name for it is "bacterial SSU rRNA". It matches the Rfam family "Bacterial small subunit ribosomal RNA", at positions 30 to 436 of the family's 1533-position model. Lineage: Bacteria; Pseudomonadati; Pseudomonadota; Betaproteobacteria; Burkholderiales; Burkholderiaceae. The record is from RNAcentral.